Molecule: ribosomal RNA, 393 nt
Filed under: uncultured bacterium
Lineage: Bacteria
Description: partial 16S ribosomal RNA
Rfam family: Bacterial small subunit ribosomal RNA
Source: RNAcentral
AUACGGAGGAUCCGAGCGUUAUCCGGAUUUAUUGGGUUUAAAGGGAGCGCAGGCGGAGAUGCAAGCGUGACGUCAAAUUUCGGGGCUCAACCCCGUCUCGCGUCGCGAACUGCGUCCCUUGGUUGCGGGAAGGGGAGGCGGAACUCGUGGUGUAGCGGUGAAAUGCAUAGAUAUCACGAAGAACUCCGAUCGCGAAGGCAGCCUUCCGGCCCGUCAACGACGCUCAUGCUCGAAGGUGCGGGUAUCAAACAGGAUUAGAUACCCUGGUAGUCCGCACAGUAAACGAUGGACACCCGCGGUUUGGCCUGUAUGGCUGAGCCGCCAAGCGAAAGCGUUAAGUGUCCCACCUGGGGAGUACGCCGGCAACGGUGAAACUCAAAUGAAUUGACGGGG